Cyprinus carpio (common carp) is the source of this 903-nucleotide long non-coding RNA. RefSeq lists it as uncharacterized. The record is from RefSeq and is a predicted model, not a curated record. The transcript has 4 exons. NCBI's taxonomy places the organism in Eukaryota, Metazoa, Chordata, Actinopteri, Cypriniformes, Cyprinidae.
UAUGUUAUGUUUCACGCCAUAUUAUCAGACCACCUUAAGUGGGUCCGCCUUAAAUUUUGAGUUUGUGUGAUCGCUGUUGAUUGGUUGCUGGUAAACUGUGUACAGACGUUUUACGUUCGAAUUGCAGAGAAAAAAUGUUUUCUGGUAGCAACAUUGUGCAGUAUGAGCGAACCAUUUCACCAAAAAAAAAAACAACCUCCUAAAGAAAGAAAGAGCGACAUCACAUUGCGGGAUGACGUCACCUGAAAAUGACGCUGCUGAGCGGUGUGCCGCGCGCUUUUUUUUUCUUGCAGGAGACUUGUUGGCUUCGCUAACGGACGCAGUUUUGAACUCGCGCCAUUUAUAGCUGCUUGGACCAGCAUCUUCGGAAUUUGUAGACAUCCUGGCAACUUACAAUUAAUUCGAGGUGAGGGUGCUGACCCAAAUCUGUGUGGACCAGAACGUACCAAAGAGAACUACAACUCUGCUGUUGAUCGCCUCCAGAUUGACAAUACACCAGACGUCGAAGGAGUGAAGUUCAGACAUCUCGGAAAUGGGGGACAGCAUAAGGAGUUCCAUUACUAAGGUGCUGCCGGACCUGUCUGCCUCAAUCCUUGAAAUUGUACUGGAGGAACUACAAUCAUUAGGAGUGGAGACAUCUGAGGACUUGCAGUUCAUCAGUGAGACUGAUCUGAACUCUGUCCUGAGACCAAUUCAGGCAAAGAAAACUGCUGGCUGCCUGGAAACAAACCACACCAAAUACGGACAUUUCAAGCCAGGCCAGCCUAUCGUCUUCAUCUUCUUGCUCCUCAUUUUCUGCCUCCCCCUCACCCAGUCCAAUAUAUUCUCUAGACUGGGUAGAUAAAUUUAGAAUUCCAUGUGAAGAUUUUCCAGAAGACUUGAUCCAGUGUCUUCAGAGAGAGA